AAUCUAGACAGAUUUUUAACCAUUUAGUAAUCUCUGAUUGGAUUAACAGGUUACCUGGAGUAACAGUUUGUGUUUCCCCAAAAGUUUGAGUGAAGAGCAAAAUAAACAUGUAUACAUAAAAGAAGUGGGGGGUUGACCUGUUGGGUACCUCAGUUCAACUUCUCAUUAAAAAGCCUGAUUGGAAACACCUGCCCGUAGGAAGGACCUAUAAAGACAGCAGCAUGUCCUAAACACGUAACUCAGAUGUACACUGGUGUUUGGUUGGAGUAGCUGGUGUGUGUGGACCUGUGGAAGUGUGAGUGCUUUGCAUGCACAGUCCAGCUGGAGGGUUUGUGAGGACAGUGAGUGCAGCUACUGGAGUCAUGGUUGCUCGGUUGUUAAUUGCAAGGUACAAUGUUUAAAUGUAUUUUCAUGAUAUGCACUUCCUGUGCUUGAAUGUGAACCUUUGGUCUGGUUUUAUCUUGACUGUAUUUGUGCUGCUUGACAGGUUUUUACUGCUUUAUGUUUUGAGUGAUGUGAACUAUUCCUCGGCUUUUCCAAGAGCCACAAGUUCUGUGCAGCCUAGAGCAUGGCAGGGUGGAAGAGGGGAACAAGAUGUGUAUGGAAAUCCUCGUCCUUUCCAGUACAUGAGGGCUCUGAGGCCGACGGAUCCAAUGAUCUACCCUAACACCCAUGGAAACAUCUCUGCUCCAGCCACGAGCACACAGAAACCAUCUUGUGGCCAAGCCCAGGAGCUUUAACAUAAGCCUGAGGAUUCCUUUUGCUCACACUCGUGAUGGUGCUUAUCGUCCUCGGUGGCCAGGAACAUCACGGUGGACGUCGACACAGGCCUGAGAAAGACGAUUUGGGUCGUCAAACAGAGCACUUGCCAGUUCAUACAAGGCCGUACCCUGACCAGCAUCGUGAGGAUCACGAGCAUCGUGAUGAAGGCCGCCUGCAGGAGUUUGCAUUUCCAAAGCCAGAUGGACCAGAACACCCAUCAAGGCUGCGUCAUCCUCAAAGAUAUGUCGACCCUUACAGUGGCUACUACAACUCCCAGAUGAAUCCUACGUGGAAUGACUACUGGUGGCAUUACCGUGGACCUCACUGGGGUCAUGUAAAGCAUCAGUCUUCUGACCCUUGGCCAAAUUUCCAUCGGUCAGCUUCAGACUGGCAUGGAUGGAAGAGAUGACCCAAACUCACAGGGCAGAGCUGCUGCAGCAGUGGGUGGGCACAUCUACGGCCCCCGACAGAGCAGUUGGGCGAGCACCUCCACAUCGCUUUGGUCUGACCCCACUUUUUGUCUGCUUCCUUCUUAGCUGGAAUAUGGUCAGAGGAUGAGGAGGCAGAAUAAAGGGACAGAAAUAUCUUCUAAAGGUUUUGAUAAGUCUGGUGUGGCUGAGAAAAGUGCAGCCUCAUGUCUUUAGUAAAUCUAAAGACUCUAUAGCACCCCCAAGAGGCUGAAAUGUUUAUUACAAUGAAUGAGCACUUUUAAACAUGCAAUUAUUCAAGCUGUUACACAGUAUUACUGUUUAUGACCAAAAUGAGGUUGCAUGGAAGAAACUGUCUUCUAUGGUGUCACCAAUGAAUGCAUCUGUGUGAUAUUUUCAGACUG
RNAcentral lists this long non-coding RNA (1594 nucleotides) under Oreochromis niloticus (Nile tilapia). Its description in RNAcentral is "lncRNA (ENSONIG00000040270.1)". Lineage: Eukaryota; Metazoa; Chordata; Actinopteri; Cichliformes; Cichlidae. The record is from RNAcentral.